Molecule: ribosomal RNA, 439 nt
Filed under: uncultured bacterium
Lineage: Bacteria
Description: partial 16S ribosomal RNA
Rfam family: Bacterial small subunit ribosomal RNA
Source: RNAcentral
CUACGGGAGGCUCCAGUGGGGAAUAUUGCACAAUGGAGGAAACUCUGAUGCAGCAACGCCGCGUGGAGGAUGACACUUUUCGGAGCGUAAACUCCUUUUAUAUAGGAAGAAGAUGACGGUACUAUAUGAAUAAGCGCCGGCUAACUCCGUGCCAGCAGCCGCGGUAAUACGGAGGGCGCAAGCGUUACUCGGAAUCACUGGGCGUAAAGAGCGUGUAGGCGGAUUAAAAAGUCAGAAGUGAAAUCCUAUAGCUUAACUAUAGAACUGCUUCUGAAACUCUUAAUCUAGAAUGUGGGAGAGGUAGAUGGAAUUUCUGGUGCAGGGGUAAAAUCCGUAGAGAUCAGAAGGAAUACCGAUUGCGAAGGCGAUCUACUAGAACAUUAUUGACGCUGAGACGCGAAAGCGUGGGGAGCAAACAGGAUUAGAUACCCUUGUAGUC